UGAGGAAUAUUGCACAAUGGGGGAAACCCUGAUGCAGCAACGCCGCGUGAAGGAUGAAGGCUUUCGAGUUGUAAACUUCUUUUCUGGGGGAAGAGGAAGGACGGUACCCCAGGAAUAAGACACGGCUAACUACGUGCCAGCAGCCGCGGUAAUACGUAGGUGUCGAGCGUUAUCCGGAAUUACUGGGCGUAAAGGGCACGCAGGCGGCUGUUCAAGUUCGGCGUGAAAGCUCCCGGCUAAACUGGGAGAGGCCGUUGAAAACUGAGCAGCUUGAGGCAAUGAGAGGGAUGCGGAAUUCCCGGUGUAGUGGUGGAAUGCGUAGAUAUCGGGAAGAACACCGAGUGGCGAAAGCGGCAUCCUGGCAUUGAACUGACGCUGAGGUGCGAAAGCGUGGGUAGCGAA
Molecule: ribosomal RNA, 402 nt
Filed under: uncultured bacterium
Lineage: Bacteria
Description: bacterial SSU rRNA
Rfam family: Bacterial small subunit ribosomal RNA
Source: RNAcentral